Acanthosepion pharaonis is the source of this 104-nucleotide non-coding RNA. The record is from the annotation of a GenBank genome assembly. NCBI's taxonomy places the organism in Eukaryota, Metazoa, Mollusca, Cephalopoda, Sepiida, Sepiidae.
UAUGGCCACAUCACAUUGAAACACCAGUUCCUGUAUGAUCACUGAAGUUAAGCAACGUUAAGCCUGGCCAGUACUUAGAUUGGUGACCACUUGGGGAUACAAGG